Molecule: long non-coding RNA, 1159 nt
Organism: Xiphophorus couchianus (Monterrey platyfish)
Lineage: Eukaryota; Metazoa; Chordata; Actinopteri; Cyprinodontiformes; Poeciliidae
Exons: 7
Source: RefSeq, a predicted model, not a curated record
CACCUACCAGGAAUAUAUAUACUUAAUCACUCAGGAUAAAAUCUAAUUUAGGUGUCUAAAUAGAGCCAAAUUAUUAUUUUUUUCGUCUUCUUUUUUACACUGCUGCGGUUGAAUAAAGACGAAACCUCAGCUUUUUUUAGUGGAAACAUAGAAAGCUCAUGUAGAAGCGACCUGUGAAAUUGUCGCAGGUGUUUUCAAUCAGUUAGCAAGCGCCAGAGAGGCAAGGCUGUUGUGCAAAGACGGAGAUGGUGGCUCUGUUCAUUAGCAUCUGGGAAGAGGAAGAAACUGAACAACAAUUUGAGGAAUUAACUUCUACCUUUUACUUCAAAUAUCUUCAACUCUCAUGAGUUCAGAAGUGGCUUUAAUCGUUGCUGAGGACUUCAACAUAUACUUUGAAAACUAAACCUGUGGAGAAACUUUUUCUUAAGACAGUUUGCAGCAGUAUGUGCUGUUUUUCUUAGUUGAGGUGUGGAUGGCGAUGCACAGCUCUGGCUUGGUUCCUCUCCUCUGAGCGCUGCGUUGCCGUGAGGGACACAGGAACAUGAUGGACCAGCAGUGUUGGGAAUCCUGUUAGGGUCUUCACUGUCAGCCGCUAACAUCAUCAGACUCUUCAUCAAGUCAAAUUUUCUGGAUUCUUCUCCUCUCAGUGUAGGACUCAAUCUCUGGAGGAGAAUAGGUGCGAGACGAUCCACCUUCCAAUUCAAAAGGACAUGAGGCCUCAGCAACACAUCACAGAUUUGAAGGUUGUUGCACGAGAAAAAACAAAACAACUUUCACAUUCUGGAGGGUGCUGUGGGACUCGAGCCAAGAAGUCUGUCAUUCACCAUGUAAAAACAAUGCAGCUGCGGUAAAUUAGUGCUGACUGAAUCCUGCUGCUUUCGUUUCAGAGCGCCAGCAUCGCCCAUGUUCUGAGUCCACCGCGCUGCAUCCACCUCAGGAGCAAUGAAGGAUACAGCCAGCACCAGUUGCACAGGAGUCCAUAAAGAAAACAUGACUGAAAUAUCCUAGAAACCAGCCUCACCCAUUUUCUUUAUUGUCCUGCGUCAAGGGAUGCAGCUUUUCUGGAACUCCUCUCGGCCAUAUUAUGACAGCUAAUUAAGAGGAUGACGAGUGCUACUUUGCUCUGAUGUGAUUUUAAAAGAUUAAAGAUGAGAGAUGA